GAUGAACGCUGGCGGCGUGCCUAAUACAUGCAAGUAGAACGCUGAAGCUUGGUGCUUGCACCGAGCGGAUGAGUUGCGAACGGGUGAGUAACGCGUAGGUAACCUGCCUCUUAGCGGGGGAUAACUAUUGGAAACGAUAGCUAAUACCGCAUAAAAGUCGAUAUCGCAUGAUAUUGAUUUGAAAGUUGCAAAUGCAUCACUAAGAGAUGGACCUGCGUUGUAUUAGCUAGUUGGUGAGGUAACGGCUCACCAAGGCGACGAUACAUAGCCGACCUGAGAGGGUGAUCGGCCACACUGGGAGUGAGGCACGGCCCAGACUCCUACGGGAGGCAGCAGUAGGGAAUCUUCGGCAAUGGGGGCAACACUGACCGAGAAACGCCGCGUGAGGGAAGAAGGUUUUCGGAUCGUAAAGCUCUGUUGUAAGAGAAGAACGAGUGUGAGAGUGGAAAGUUCACACUGUGACGGUAACUUACCAGAAAGGGACGGCUAACUACGUG
Molecule: ribosomal RNA, 497 nt
Filed under: uncultured bacterium
Lineage: Bacteria
Description: partial 16S ribosomal RNA
Rfam family: Bacterial small subunit ribosomal RNA
Source: RNAcentral